CAUGCCACAGAAUGAAGGUAAGCAUUGUGAAUGGCACAGCCUAAAAGCCCCUCAAAUUAAAAACAUAAAGGAUGCAAACCUCUUACAGAUUAACGUGCCAGGAAAAUAACACUGGGAAACUAAUGUCUGUCUCUGAACAAAGAGAGCUCUUUGAAAGAAAAAAUAAAGAGAUAUAGCAAACCAAUAAAUACAAUGAAGACAUCAAAAGAACUCACCAAAAGUGAUUAUAUCAACUCAAAAAUAUUAAGUAUUCUAAGGUGCAAAACAGAUCAAAGGCUUCUUAAAGAUAUCAAAGGGGAAGCCUAUGAGGAUACUAAGAAGCAAAAAUAAAUUAAUGAAAACUUGUAUAUGUGUACCACCGUUUACAGUGGAAAAUGGAAUACAGUAAUCUAGGAUCAGCCAAACCAUUUGGUACCAAAAUCCCUUCGUCUUUUAUGGGCUGAAAUUAAAAUGCAAUAUAUAUAAACCCUGAAAAUUCGAUUGAGCUUGCGGUCACGGUUACGUAAAAGCCUAACCUGCAAAUUAAUUAAACUUCUUUGAAUGUCAGAAUAAAAGUAAUAGAGAACAGGAAAUCAAUGAUAGGGUAUUUAAACAUCAGGGAAAUCUCUGACUUGGAUUCAGAAGAAUUUGAUGAAGAACUUCACUGGAGUAGUUACACUGAUGCCAGUUAGUAGGCAAAAAGAUAGAUAUUCUAGUUUUUAAAUUAGAGUCUGUGUAGAGUAAUCUAGAAUGUAUUUCCACAUCUUUUUGGUAUUCACAAACUGAGAAUACAACACUUGAGGAUCUCAUAGGCACAAACUAUUCCUUUGAACUUGGGUCAUGACAAAAUCCCACUUAAUGUUUCUCACUGAGACAGUACAUAUGGUUUCUGGGUUUUUCUUUCCUUCAGGGCAUUUUGUCUCUUUUGCUUUUCUGAGUAUGUGGAUACCCAGUACGUGAUAAAAGUGAGGCCUCUGCAAGGUUAAUUCACCAAUCAAUGUUACUCAUCGAAUCAAUUGCCUGGGGGGGACAAGGAGGAAGAAGUUCACUUUGCACUGUUUCAAAGUUCUGUAGGUGUUUCCUGAGGUACUUCAGAGCCUGAUGUGAGCAGCAUGGAAGACAUAUUAAAGGAUGCUGGAUCAAACUGUACUGUUUCAAAAUACAGCUCUAUCUUUGGAAUAGGAAUGUGGAAUAAAAGCGUAUCCUCUGCAAGCUUUUCUUAGGUGGCUUCAACAAUUCCAGAGGAAAGACAAUCUUCUAUUGAGUAGCAGCUCAAACAUUUGAAAAUACCAAACCCAAGGAGAUGUAUCCAAAAGGAAAACAGGAAUCCAAUUUUCCUAAGAUCUCCAUCAGAAAGCAGCAUAGCUAUGUGGCUCUCCAUCUUCACAGGACAUGGAUAACAAGUUUCCAUGGAAGUAAGUUGGAAGCAUUGCUUUCAGAGCAAGCUACAUGGAAUGGUACUAUAACUGAAUAACAAAAAUAAAUCACUCAAUUAUGAUCCAGCUAUCCAGUUAGGCCGCAGAGAAAUCUCCAAUGCAAUAAGAAAUGUGGGGAUGAUGGAGAG
Tympanuchus pallidicinctus (lesser prairie-chicken) is the source of this 1543-nucleotide long non-coding RNA. RefSeq lists it as uncharacterized. The transcript has 6 exons. The record is from RefSeq and is a predicted model, not a curated record. NCBI's taxonomy places the organism in Eukaryota, Metazoa, Chordata, Aves, Galliformes, Phasianidae.